This 97-nucleotide non-coding RNA is filed under the name Buchnera aphidicola (Sipha maydis). Lineage: Bacteria; Pseudomonadati; Pseudomonadota; Gammaproteobacteria; Enterobacterales; Erwiniaceae. The record is from RNAcentral.
AGUAAAGCUAUAUGAUGUUUAUUUGAUUUAAAUACUUAGUCAGGUCUGGAAAGAAGCAGCUAUCUUAAGUCAUGCAUGCAUAUAGAUUUUUAUGAAU